Molecule: ribosomal RNA, 544 nt
Filed under: uncultured bacterium
Lineage: Bacteria
Description: bacterial SSU rRNA
Rfam family: Bacterial small subunit ribosomal RNA
Source: RNAcentral
AAUAGAUACCCAGGUAGUCCAUGCCGUAAACGUUGGGCACUAGGUGUGGGGGACAUUCCACGUUUUCCGCGCCGUAGCUAACGCAUUAAGUGCCCCGCCUGGGGAGUACGGCCGCAAGGCUAAAACUCAAAGGAAUUGACGGGGGCCCGCACAAGCGGCGGAGCAUGCGGAUUAAUUCGAUGCAACGCGAAGAACCUUACCAAGGCUUGACAUGAACCGGACCGGGCUGGAAACAGUCUUUCCCCUUGUGGGCUGGUUUACAGGUGGUGCAUGGUUGUCGUCAGCUCGUGUCGUGAGAUGUUGGGUUAAGUCCCGCAACGAGCGCAACCCUCACCCCAUGUUGCCAUCGGGUCAUGCCGGGAACUCUUGGGGAACUGCCUGGGUAACCGGGAGGAAGGUGGGGAUGACGUCAAGUCAGCAUGGCCCUUACGCCCUGGGCUACAAACAUGCUACAAUGGACGGUAGACAAAGGGAUCCGAGACCGCGAGGUGGAGGCAAUCUCAAAAUCCGUUCCCAGUUCAGAUCGCAGGCUGCAACUCGCCUG